Long non-coding RNA from Capsicum annuum, 839 nucleotides. RefSeq lists it as uncharacterized. NCBI's taxonomy places the organism in Eukaryota, Viridiplantae, Streptophyta, Magnoliopsida, Solanales, Solanaceae. The record is from RefSeq and is a predicted model, not a curated record. The transcript has 5 exons.
UUUUCACUUCCUUUUAUCCAAUUUAAGUUAUGCAUCGAAGACCAUUGGUUGUUCUGUGUUUUGUCAUACUUUUUAAGAUCUGCCCCUCUUGAAUCUAGAUUUGCUUUCGUAUCUGAAUUUUCAACAGAUCGUUAGUGACUUGUAUGAUUUCUUAUGAUAAAUUAUAGAUCUAUUCCUUGCUUCUUUGUAAUGCCUGUGCAUUUUUAGAGUGAGUAAUGCUGGUUGCCCUAAGGUUGCCUUGGGUCUUGUCAUUUUUCUUGUGCACACCCAUUUUAAUAUUGUGUAAGUCUCCCUGAUAUCUUUUUUCUUCUAUAUAUGCCAUAGUUUUCAUUACUGAAUACAAGUUAGUGACAAAAAAAUGUCCAAGCUGUUAAUAUGACAACCCAAGCCAUCUUCAGGAGAAUUUCAGGAAGAAGCAGAUAUGCCUAUUAAUAUUUUCAUCAAUUUCUAUUCAGAACCUGAAUACAAAUUUAAGGUGUCGAGGACAAAUUUCUUUCCAUAACCUAAAGUUCUUGGUAUUGAUUUGUCCUGGAGAAUGCACAAAUCAUCCGAUGGGCAAAGAAGAAGAAUGCAGAUAUGUAUGGGUCUUCUGAAACCAUUCAAGGUAUAUCCGCAAAUACUCUCACUGAGUAAGAGCAGUUACCUUUUAACUGUGGAUCAAGAAGCCAAGUGAUGCGGCUAGUGGACUCAUUUCGUCCAUGGAUAUAAGGAGAUCACGUGAUGAUAAUGAUCCUAAUGACCUUUUUUGAUUUCGUUGCAUUUGUCUUGGAUAUUCAAUUAUCAUGGUGUAAUUGUGUGGUUGGAGUGAAUCUUAGAAUAUUGAAGGUUUUGUGUUUAAA